RNAcentral lists this ribosomal RNA (467 nucleotides) under uncultured bacterium. Its description in RNAcentral is "SSU rRNA". It matches the Rfam family "Bacterial small subunit ribosomal RNA", at positions 26 to 518 of the family's 1533-position model. The record is from RNAcentral.
AGAAUCAACGCUGGCGGCGCGCUUAACACAUGCAAGUCGCACGAGAAAGCAGGAGCAAUCUUGUGAGUAAAGUGGCGUACGGGUGAGUAACACGUGGAUGAUCUACCCUUUAGUGGGGAAUAACGCUGGGAAACCGGCGCUAAUACCGCAUAAUCUCGAGAGAGGAAAGCAGCAAUGCGCUGAAGGAGGAGUCCGCGGCCGAUUAGCUAGUUGGUAGGGUAAAAGCCUACCAAGGCAUAGAUCGGUAGCCGGCCUGAGAGGGGCACGACGGACCGACGACUGGCACUGAAACACGGGCCAGACUCCUACGGGAGGCAGCAGUGGGGAAUCUUGCACAAUGGGGGAAACCCUGAUGCAGCGACGCCGCGUGAGCGAUGAAGCCCUUCGGGGUGUAAAGCUCUUUCGUCAGGGACGAUAAUGACGGUACCUGGAGAAGCAGCUGCGGCUAACUACGUGCCAGCAGCCGC